Molecule: ribosomal RNA, 253 nt
Filed under: uncultured bacterium
Lineage: Bacteria
Description: partial 16S ribosomal RNA
Rfam family: Bacterial small subunit ribosomal RNA
Source: RNAcentral
GACAGAGGGUGCAAACGUUGCUCGGAAUCACUGGGCGUAAAGGGCGUGUAGGCGGGAAGGAAAGUCAGAUGUGAAAUCCCCAGGCUCAACCUGGGAACUGCAUUUGAAACUCCCUUUCUUGAGUACCGGAGAGGAAAGUGGAAUUCCUGGUGUAGAGGUGAAAUUCGUAGAUAUCAGGAGGAACACCGGUGGCGAAGGCGGGUCUCUGGGCCGAUACUGACGCUGAGGAGCGAAAGCGUGGGGAGCGAACAGG